Cinara cedri is the source of this 285-nucleotide non-coding RNA. NCBI's taxonomy places the organism in Eukaryota, Metazoa, Arthropoda, Insecta, Hemiptera, Aphididae. The record is from the annotation of a GenBank genome assembly.
GAACGUAGCGAUGGAGCUAUUGGUAUUACUAAGAUGCUUAUUUUUUUCUUUCUUUCUUUGUUCUAGUCUGUGGACACGUUUUUUCCUAGUAAACUUUCUUCGAUUUUUACGUGUAGCAACUUUUCUGAAAGGUCUAGUUGCCUAGAUGUUACUUUGCGAAAAUGGCAAAAAAAAAUUACGGCACUUCAAAUUAUCUAUUAUCGAACUGCGCUCGGAAUCGUCUUUCGUCAAGCAAUGGUUUUUCGUUGCUUACAGAUAAAAAUGAAAUAACGGUAUGUAUCCUAA